AAACAGAUUUUCGUAGCAUAGUGGAAAAAUAAGAAACAGGAAUGUUUUUAAAAUAUAAUUUCUACGAGUAUACAUUAGACAUAUUUGAAACUUAACUUUAAUACAAAAUACCUCGAACAGUUACGAUGCACUUACAUCUUUUGCGGUGUAUCAAGACAUACCGGAUUCCUAACAUCUAUUAACUUUUGUUAGAAAGUUUGAAUAUAAAACCCAAUUAAUUUAUAGACUUAUAAAUCAUAAAAAAGCUACUGUACAAGC
Molecule: non-coding RNA, 258 nt
Organism: Schizosaccharomyces pombe (fission yeast)
Lineage: Eukaryota; Fungi; Ascomycota; Schizosaccharomycetes; Schizosaccharomycetales; Schizosaccharomycetaceae
Source: the annotation of a GenBank genome assembly